RNAcentral lists this transfer RNA (89 nucleotides) under Halarsenatibacter silvermanii. Its description in RNAcentral is "tRNA_Ser_TGA". It matches the Rfam family "tRNA". Rfam says of the family: Transfer RNA (tRNA) molecules are approximately 80 nucleotides in length. Lineage: Bacteria; Bacillati; Bacillota; Clostridia; Halanaerobiales; Halarsenatibacteraceae. The record is from RNAcentral.
GGAGGGAUGUCCGAAUCUGGUAAGGGGCCGGACUUGAAAUCCGGUGAAGCCGUUAUGGUGUGGGGGUUCAAAUCCCCCUCCCUCCGCCA